This 253-nucleotide ribosomal RNA is filed under the name uncultured bacterium. RNAcentral describes it as "partial 16S ribosomal RNA". It matches the Rfam family "Bacterial small subunit ribosomal RNA", at positions 524 to 776 of the family's 1533-position model. The record is from RNAcentral.
UACGAAGGGGGCUAGCGUUGCUCGGAAUCACUGGGCGUAAAGCGCACGUAGGCGGAUUGUUAAGUCAGGGGUGAAAUCCUGGAGCUCAACUCCAGAACUGCCUUUGAUACUGGCGAUCUCGAGUCCGGGAGAGGUGAGUGGAACUGCGAGUGUAGAGGUGAAAUUCGUAGAUAUUCGCAAGAACACCAGUGGCGAAGGCGGCUCACUGGCCCGGUACUGACGCUGAGGUGCGAAAGCGUGGGGAGCAAACUGG